GACGAACGCUGGCGGCGUGCUUAACACAUGCAAGUCGAACGGAAAGGCCCCUUUGGGGGUACUCGAGUGGCGAACGGGUGAGUAACACGUGAGUAACCUGCCCUUGACUUCGGGAUAACUUCAGGAAACUGGGGCUAAUACCGGAUAGGAAUCCUUGCUGCAUGGUGGGGGUUGGAAAGCUUCGGCGGUUUUGGAUGGACUCGCGGCUUAUCAGCUUGUUGGUGGGGUAGUGGCUUACCAAGGCUUUGACGGGUAGCCGGCCUGAGAGGGCGACCGGCCACAUUGGGACUGAGAUGAGGCCCAGACUCCUACGGGAGGCAGCAGUGGGGAAUAUUGCACCAUGGGCGGAAGCCUGAUGCAGCAACGCCGCGUGCGGGAUGACGGCCUUCGGGUUGUAAACCGCUUUCAGCAGGGGCGAAGCUUGUGGUGACGGUACCUGCAGAAGAAGCACCGGCUAACUACGUG
This 465-nucleotide ribosomal RNA is filed under the name uncultured bacterium. Its description in RNAcentral is "partial 16S ribosomal RNA". It matches the Rfam family "Bacterial small subunit ribosomal RNA", at positions 28 to 507 of the family's 1533-position model. The record is from RNAcentral.